UCAAAAAAUAGAAAUUGGAAAAAGCGUAAGUCGUUUGAUGAUGAUUCAUUAAUUGACGUGGAUCAUCACACAGCUAAGAAGCGCGUGUUUCGCCAUAUGCCUUGGUCAACUGAGUAACACAUGGCCAUUAAUAAAGUCAUAACAAAGGACGCGUGAGAUUGAAUUUGGAAACAUGAAUGGACGGUUCUGAUUAAAUCUGGAGACCAGACGGUGACCAGC
Molecule: long non-coding RNA, 219 nt
Filed under: Lathyrus oleraceus (garden pea)
Lineage: Eukaryota; Viridiplantae; Streptophyta; Magnoliopsida; Fabales; Fabaceae
Description: Pisum sativum (pea) long non-coding RNA (PSAT_LNC002788)
Source: RNAcentral